Molecule: long non-coding RNA, 223 nt
Organism: Dreissena polymorpha
Lineage: Eukaryota; Metazoa; Mollusca; Bivalvia; Myida; Dreissenidae
Exons: 3
Source: RefSeq, a predicted model, not a curated record
UUGUACUUUCUUUUCAGACGCACAACAACAACCAUGUGUGAAUGAUGAGAUCUCAUCCAUCACAUCAGUUAAACAAAAGUUGGAAAUCCGCGAAACAGCGCAUGUGAGGCCCAGUCAUUUGAGCCGAUAGUGUUCCACUUCAUUGUUCCCUAGCUGUAGAGUUGUUGGAGAAAACCCUGUAUUAUUAUGUUACAAAGAUAAUUUAAUAAAGGAGUAGAAUUUA